AUUGAAUCUUCGGAGGAUUUGNUGGGCGUCGAGCGGCGGACGGGUGAGUAAUGCCUAGGAAAUUGCCUUGAUGUGGGGGAUAACCAUUGGAAACGAUGGCUAAUACCGCAUAAUGCCUACGGGCCAAAGAGGGGGACCUUCGGNCCUCUCGCGUCAAGAUAUGCCUAGGUGGGAUUAGCUAGUUGGUGAGGUAAUGGCUCACCAAGGCGACGAUCCCUAGCUGGUCUGAGAGGAUGAUCAGCCACACUGGAACUGAGACACGGUCCAGACUCCUACGGGAGGCAGCAGUGGGGAAUAUUGCACAAUGGGCGAAAGCCUGAUGCAGCCAUGCCGCGUGUAUGAAGAAGGCCUUCGGGUUGUAAAGUACUUUCAGUUGUGAGGAAGGGGGUAACGUUAAUAGCGUUAUCUCUUGACGUUAGCAACAGAAGAAGCACCGGCUAACUCCGUGCCAGCAGCCGCGGUAAUACGGAGGGUG
Molecule: ribosomal RNA, 475 nt
Filed under: bacterium fme08x95np501es
Lineage: Bacteria
Description: bacterial SSU rRNA
Rfam family: Bacterial small subunit ribosomal RNA
Source: RNAcentral